GAUGAACGUUGGCGGCGUGCCUAAUACAUGCAAGUCGAGCGAACGGACGAGAAGCUUGCUUCUCUGAUGUUAGCGGCGGACGGGUGAGUAACACGUGGAUAACCUACCUAUAAGACUGGGAUAACUUCGGGAAACCGGAGCUAAUACCGGAUAAUAUUUUGAACCGCAUGGUUCAAAAGUGAAAGACGGUCUUGCUGUCACUUAUAGAUGGAUCCGCGCUGCAUUAGCUAGUUGGUAAGGUAACGGCUUACCAAGGCAACGAUGCAUAGCCGACCUGAGAGGGUGAUCGGCCACACUGGAACUGAGACACGGUCCAGACUCCUACGGGAGGCAGCAGUAGGGAAUCUUCCGCAAUGGGCGAAAGCCUGACGGAGCAACGCCGCGUGAGUGAUGAAGGUCUUCGGAUCGUAAAACUCUGUUAUUAGGGAAGAACAUAUGUGUAAGUAACUGUGCACAUCUUGACGGUACCUAAUCAGAAAGCCACGGCUAACUACGUGCCAGCAGCCGCGGUAAUACGUAGGUGGCAAGCGUUAUCCGGAAUUAUUGGGCGUAAAGCGCGCGUAGGCGGUUUUUUAAGUCUGAUGUGAAAGCCCACGGCUCAACCGUGGAGGGUCAUUGGAAACUGGAAAACUUGAGUGCAGAAGAGGAAAGUGGAAUUCCAUGUGUAGCGGUGAAAUGCGCAGAGAUAUGGAGGAACACCAGUGGCGAAGGCGACUUUCUGGUCUGUAACUGACGCUGAUGUGCGAAAGCGUGGGGAUCAAACAGGAUUAGAUACCCUGGUAGUCCACGCCGUAAUCGAUGAGUGCUAAGUGUUAGGGGGUUUCCGCCCCUUAGUGCUGCAGCUAACGCAUUAAGCACUCCGCCUGGGGAGUACGACCGCAAGGUUGAAACUCAAAGGAAUUGACGGGGACCCGCACAAGCGGUGGAGCAUGUGGUUUAAUUCGAAGCAACGCGAAGAACCUUACCAAAUCUUGACAUCCUUUGACAACUCUAGAGAUAGAGCCUUCCCCUUCGGGGGACAAAGUGACAGGUGGUGCAUGGUUGUCGUCAGCUCGUGUCGUGAGAUGUUGGGUUAAGUCCCGCAACGAGCGCAACCCUUAAGCUUAGUUGCCAUCAUUAAGUUGGGCACUCUAAGUUGACUGCCGGUGACAAACCGGAGGAAGGUGGGGAUGACGUCAAAUCAUCAUGCCCCUUAUAAUUUGGGCUACACACGUGCUACAAUGGACAAUACAAAGGGCAGCGAAACCGCGAGGUCAAGCAAAUCCCAUAAAGUUGUUCUCAGUUCGGAUUGUAGUCUGCAACUCGACUACAUGAAGCUGGAAUCGCUAGUAAUCGUAGAUCAGCAUGCUACGGUGAAUACGUUCCCGGGUCU
Molecule: ribosomal RNA, 1372 nt
Filed under: uncultured bacterium
Lineage: Bacteria
Description: bacterial SSU rRNA
Rfam family: Bacterial small subunit ribosomal RNA
Source: RNAcentral